This 866-nucleotide long non-coding RNA is filed under the name Mus spicilegus (steppe mouse). RNAcentral's name for it is "lncRNA (ENSMSIG00000025568.1)". Lineage: Eukaryota; Metazoa; Chordata; Mammalia; Rodentia; Muridae. The record is from RNAcentral.
CCCGCCUCUUCCUUCUCCUGCGCCUCGGCGGCCGCCAGAGCCGCUCUUCAGGGAGGAAGCGGCCUCCGGGGCUUGUUGCUUUGUGCUGCAACCAUGGUGAGGAGUGAGUGACGGGCCGGGGGCCAGUCGGAGGCCGCCGCAUCAUCGGGGGCGGAGCGCCCCGUGGCGCCGGCCCGCCCCAUCGCUGGCCUGGCGGGGCCGCGCCCUCGCUGAGAGCCGCGUUCUGCCGGGACCAGGUGCGGUAGGAGCCGGGACAGCCGGGGCUGUUGCGAUCGUUGAUCCCAUAGCUGAGCGGCCGCACCCCGACUCUCUGGCCUAGACCCCACAUCCCAGGCCUUGCGGCACGUCUCCCGCCCCUUCCCGGGCUGGAAGCUGACCCCACCCGGGAGAGGUCCCUGUGAGGACUCGGCUGCAGUGGCAGGUCUUCCCAAAGCUUAGGGCUGACUGGGAUUUUGCCUCGUUGGCAACAUUAACCAUCCUUGGAUUCUGUUUAUUUGUAGUGACUGCAAGGACAACGUUGCUCUCCCUCCUUCCGCGCUCACUGACAUCUAAACCCUUAAAUGACUCCUGCGUUAGGCAGGUAGGAAUGUGGCUUUCCAACUCCAGACCUGGUAUCACAUCGGACAAGAAAACACCAGAUGGAUUUGAGAUUCCUCACCAUAUCCCGUGAAAACUGAAGGAGUAAACAUCUGUUUGCUGCCACAGAAGACAGGCUUUGUGUCCCAGCUUUGUGUCACACUCUGAAGACACCACAUCCAUUCUAUUUUGUUCUGUUCUAUUCAUGCACACACUAUCAUUUAAGACGUCCUUCCUAGGUAAUUUGAGGUCUCCUAAUCUUAUGCUUGAAUAUAAAGGUUUCAAUGAAC